This 452-nucleotide long non-coding RNA is filed under the name Rattus norvegicus (Norway rat). RNAcentral's name for it is "long non-coding RNA NONRATT004608". Lineage: Eukaryota; Metazoa; Chordata; Mammalia; Rodentia; Muridae. The record is from RNAcentral.
CCCACUUCCUGCCAACAGGGAACAACUUAUGCUCUAGGGAAAACACUAAUACUGAAGUGAUCUGGACUUUGUGGCUUUGUAGCCUCUGAGGAGAGCAGAGCCAGCAGCUCCCUAGAAGAAAUUUUGCACGGAAAGCAACUAAGGCCGUAAGGGCUUGUGAGAUUUCCCCGUCCCCUCCUAAAGUAGUUCUGGCAGGAUGGGAUUUUUGAUCACAGGCAGCCCAGGGGAAGGGGAAGUAAACAUAAGGCAUGGAUGAGGGUCAGACUGGAAGCUGCUAACACACACCGGCUGUGUGCUCUGUUAACCUGGGACGUGUGACCGGUCAGCCUGAAGGGCAACACAGGUUCUGGCACGAAAGAAUGUGUCCUCUACUGCAUACCUGCAAUCUUGGUCGCUUACCCUCAGUGAGAGAAGUAAACACUAACUUGUAAUAAAAUUGUUUUACACUGCUG